GCUGGGCGUGGUGGUGCACGCCUGUAAACCUAGCUCCUUGGGAGGCUGAGGCAGGAGAAUCACUUGAACCCGGGAGGUGGAGGUUCCUGUGAGCGGAGAUCACGCCAUUACACUCCAGCCUGGGCAACAAGAGCAAAACUCCGUCUCAAAAAAAGAAAAAAAUUUUGUCUUGAUUUUCUUUUUUUUUUCUGGAGACGGAGUCUCAGUCUCUCACUCUGUCGCCCAGGCUGGAGUGCAGUGGAGUGAUCUCAGCUCACAGCAACCUCCACCUCCCGGGUUCAAGCGAUUCUCCUGCCUCGG
Molecule: unclassified non-coding RNA, 300 nt
Organism: Macaca fascicularis (crab-eating macaque)
Lineage: Eukaryota; Metazoa; Chordata; Mammalia; Primates; Cercopithecidae
Rfam family: Metazoan signal recognition particle RNA
About the family: The signal recognition particle (SRP) is a universally conserved ribonucleoprotein.
Source: Ensembl